This 486-nucleotide ribosomal RNA is filed under the name uncultured bacterium. Its description in RNAcentral is "partial 16S ribosomal RNA". It matches the Rfam family "Bacterial small subunit ribosomal RNA", at positions 355 to 849 of the family's 1533-position model. The record is from RNAcentral.
UGGGGAAUAUUGGACAAUGGGCGGAAGCCUGAUCCAGCAACGCCGCGUGAGGGAUGACGGCCUUCGGGUUGUAAACCUCUUUCAGUACCGACGAAGCGAAAGUGACGGUAGGUACAGAAGAAGGACCGGCCAACUACGUGCCAGCAGCCGCGGUAAUACGUAGGGUCCGAGCGUUGUCCGGAAUUAUUGGGCGUAAAGGGCUCGUAGGCGGUUUGUCGCGUCGGGAGUGAAAACAGCGGGCUUAACUCGUUGCUUGCUUUCGAUACGGGGCAGACUAGAGGUAUGCAGGGGAGAAUGGAAUUCCUGGUGUAGCGGUGAAAUGCGCAGAUAUCAGGAGGAACACCGGUGGCGAAGGCGGUUCUCUGGGCAUUACCUGACGCUGAGGAGCGAAAGUGUGGGGAGCGAACAGGAUUAGAUACCCCUGGUAGUCCACACCGUAAACGUUGGGCGCUAGGUGUGGGGUCCUUUCCACGGAUUCCGUGCCGU